UACGUAGGGUGCGAGCGUUAAUCGGAAUUACUGGGCGUAAAGCGUGCGCAGGCGGUUCUAUAAGACAGAUGUGAAAUCCCCGGGCUUAACCUGGGAACUGCGUUUGUGACUGUAGGACUUGAGUGUGGCAGAGGGGGGUGGAAUUCCACGUGUAGCAGUGAAAUGCGUAGAUAUGUGGAGGAACACCAAUGGCGAAGGCAGCCCCCUGGGAUAACACCGACGCUCAUGUACGAAAGCGUGGGUAGCAAACAGGAUUAGAUACCCCU
This 266-nucleotide ribosomal RNA is filed under the name uncultured bacterium. RNAcentral describes it as "partial 16S ribosomal RNA". It matches the Rfam family "Bacterial small subunit ribosomal RNA", at positions 524 to 788 of the family's 1533-position model. The record is from RNAcentral.